UACGUAGGUGGCAAGCGUUGUCCGGAUUUAUUGGGUUUAAAGGGUGCGUAGGCGGUUUUGUAAGUCAGUGGUGAAAUACUCCAGCUUAACUGGAGGGGUGCCAAUGAUACUGCAGAACUGAGUACAGAUGAGGUAGGCGGGAAUUGACGGUGUAGCGGUGAAAAUGCAUAGAUAUCGUCAAGAACACCAAUUGCGAAGGCAGCUACUAUGGUAUGAUUGACGCGAGGCACGAAAAGCGUGGGGAUCAAAACAG
Molecule: ribosomal RNA, 253 nt
Filed under: uncultured bacterium
Lineage: Bacteria
Description: partial 16S ribosomal RNA
Rfam family: Bacterial small subunit ribosomal RNA
Source: RNAcentral